RNAcentral lists this ribosomal RNA (400 nucleotides) under phytoplankton environmental sample. Its description in RNAcentral is "partial small subunit ribosomal RNA". It matches the Rfam family "Eukaryotic small subunit ribosomal RNA", at positions 587 to 986 of the family's 1831-position model. The record is from RNAcentral.
AGCUCCAAUAGCGUAUAUUAAUGUUGUUGCGGUUAAAAAGCUCGUAGUUGGAUCUCAACACGUCGCGGGCGGUUCGUUAUUCGACGUUACUGCCCCGUCGAUGUGUGUGUUUUGACAGAGGCUUCGGGGUGAUCUUAAUCGAUUGUCUCGUAGUGCUGUCAGGUUUACUUUGAAAAAAUUAGAGUGCUCAAAGCAGGCUUUACACGCUUGAAUAUCUGUGCAUGGAAUAAUGGAAUAGGACACUGUUUCUAUUUUGUUGGUUUUCGGAAAUCGGUGUAAUGAUUAAUAGGGACAGUCGGGGGCAUUAGUAUUCAGACGACAGAGGUGAAAUUCUUGGACCGUCUGAAGACUAACUACUGCGAAAGCAUUUGCCAAGAAUGUUUUCAUUAAUCAAGAACGA